This 240-nucleotide unclassified non-coding RNA is filed under the name soil metagenome. RNAcentral's name for it is "partial contains 5.8S ribosomal RNA, internal transcribed spacer 2, and large subunit ribosomal RNA". The record is from RNAcentral.
AACGGUCUAUACCUGCGGUACCUGCGGAGGGAUCAUUACUGAAUUGAUUUUGGGGAUGUUGCUGGUCUCUUGAGGCAAUGGUGCACUCCCUCAAACAUUUCACAAUUUCCAUCUUACCCAUGUGCACAUCCUGUAGGUGGUCUCCCAACCCACCCUCCAAGGAAAGGGGGGGAGUGUGUGGGUCUGGUCUCCUAUGUAUUUCCUUGCCAACAUCACACGUCUUGACUGAAUGAAUCCUGU